UACGUAGGAUGCGAGCGUUGUCCGGAAUCACUGGGUGUAAAGGGAGCGCAGGCGGUUCAGCAAGUCAUUGGUGAAAUUCUCAGGCUCAACCUGAGGGCUGCCACUGAUACUGCUGAUCUUGAGUGUGGAAGAGGUAGAUGGAAUUCCUGGUGUAGCGGUGAAAUGCGUAGAUAUCAGGAAGAACACCGAUGGCGAAGGCAGUCUACUGGUCCAUUACUGACGCUCAUGCUCGAAAGCGUGGGGAU
RNAcentral lists this ribosomal RNA (245 nucleotides) under uncultured bacterium. RNAcentral describes it as "partial 16S ribosomal RNA". It matches the Rfam family "Bacterial small subunit ribosomal RNA", at positions 524 to 768 of the family's 1533-position model. The record is from RNAcentral.